UUCCCCUUCAAGUUGUAGUUGCCACUGACACUUUGGUCUAUCCUCUCCCUACACCUCCCCAUCUUUCUGCCUGCAUCUUCAGUUUAUUUACAGAGACACAUGGCUAGGGCUUUUUUGGGGUGUGCGGGUUGUAUUUUUUCUUUCUUUUUUUUUUGUUGGAGCUUACAUAUCCAGUAGGGAUUAUAUUUUUUUCUAAGAAAGAUGAGAUUGUGUUAAGCUGUUCUACUGUUUUCUUUCCCCACUAGCAGUAGGUCCAGGAGAUCUUUCCAGAUCAGGAAACACAGAUUGACCUUUUUAAUCUUUUUAAUGACCACAGAGCAUUCUAUUGCAGGGACCAGCAUUUCCGUAUCAACUGGGUUGAUGUUUUUUCAGAAGUACUUUAUUCAUUCCAGAGGGAGAACAGAAAGGAAAUAAUGGCAGGAAGUCACAGCAGCCCAGAAAUAGCCCCUUCCAAAGGGCAGGCUGUGACCCCACAGCAACUUUGCAGGCACCUCCCUUGAUUUCCUGUGGGUUUCUCAGGUAGCCCAUCAGGCAAGAGCUGCCCCAGGACAGGUUUAACAGCAGGAAGAUCUGGGUAGCUCAGAUGGGCUCUGGAUCGUGCUGCUGGGCUGGAAUCUUAGCUCCCCCAACCAUAGGGGUAGCCCCUGAGCCAGUCUCUUCACCUCUCUGAACUUCAGUCUUCUUUCUCAUCUGUGAAACGGGGAUGAUGGGAGUCGGUGCCUCCUGGUUUGUUGGAAGGAUUCAGUUGAUAAGGUGUGAUUCCUCGUCCCCCGAGGUGGACCGAAUUGCCGUAAAUGCCAUGAGGCCACCUUGCUACUCAGGCCACGCCUCAUCCUUGACUCCCCUCCUCCUCUCACAGCCACAGCCAAUCCAGUGGCAAGGGCUGCCGACUCUGCCUUCCCAACAUGGCUGUCCUGGGCUACUUCCUGGUUAUCCUCACCUCCACCCUCACUCGAGCAGGUUAAAAGCUUACAUCAGAGCCCAUCCCUCUGCUGCUCAGACCCUCUGGUGGCUUCUCUUCUGGCUCAGAGUAAAAGCCAAAGUCCUGGCCAGGCGUGGUGGCUCAUGCCUGUAAUCCCAGCCCUUUGGGAAGCCAAGGCGGGUGGAUCACUUGAGGUCAGGAGUUCGAGACCAGCCUGGCCAACAUGGUGAAACCCCCGUCUCUACUACAAAUACAAAAAUUAGCUGGGCGUGGUGGCACACACCUGUAUCCCAUCUACUCAGGAGGCUGAGGUGGGAGGACUGCUUGAACCCAGAAGGCAGAGGUUGCAGUGACUCACCUGAAAUCUCACCAGUGCACUCCAGCCUGGGUGAUAGAGCAAGGCUCUGUCUCACAAAAAAAAAAAAAAAAAAAGUGGGCCUGGCUGGCUCACUGCCCUCACCUUCUGCCUUGUUCUCUGGCCACACCAGCCUCCCUGUUUUUCAUCAGCACCGCCAAAUGCACUCCUGCCUCAGGGCCUUUGUACCUACUUUCCCUGCUGCCCAGACCAUCUCCCUGAUGACCUGAGGUCUCUCCUCAUGCAUGGCCUCAUCAGAGAGGCCUCUCCUGACCAUCCUAUCAAAAUAGCCCUGUCUUGUCUCUGGCAAAAGAAAGCCACCGAAGAAUGAGAGAGGCUAUUUUCUCCCCUGGCCACCUCCCUAGAGGAGCUGCUUCCCUGAGGGGCCCAGCGGGGACCCUUGUGCCCCGGAUUACGACUCCUGGCGAGUGCUGGCUCUCCCUGUCUGUGUCUGCUGCAGGCGAGAAGCCCUACAAAUGUUCAGUGUGUGAGUCUGCGUUCAACCGCAAGGACAAACUGAAGAGACACAUGUUGAUCCACGAGCCCUUCAAGAAAUACAAAUGCCCUUUCUCGACGCACACAGGCUGCAGUAAGGAGUUCAACCGGCCGGACAAGCUGAAGGCCCACAUCCUCUCCCACUCUGGCAUGAAGCUCCACAAAUGCGCCCUGUGCAGCAAGUCCUUCAGCCGCCGCGCCCACCUCGCCGAGCAUCAGCGUGCCCACACGGGCAACUACAAGUUCCGCUGUGCUGGCUGCGCCAAGGGCUUUUCCCGCCACAAAUACCUCAAAGAUCACCGCUGUCGUCUCGGCCCCCAAAAGGACAAGGACCUGCAAACCCGGCGGCCCCCCCAGAGGAGGGCAGCCCCCCGCAGUUGCGGCAGUGGUGGGCGCAAGGUGGUGACCCCCUUGCCUGACCCACUGGGGCUGGAGGAGCUGAAGGAUGCAGGGGCUGGGCUGGUGCCCGAGGCCGUCCCCGGCAAGCCGCCCUUCGCAGAGCCGGACGCGGUGCUGUCCAUUGUUGUGGGUGGUGCGGUGGGCGCGGAACCUGAGCUGGUGGUACCUGGACACGCUGAGGGGCUGGGCUCCAACCUGGCUCUGGCGGAGCUGCAGGCCGGGGCCGAGGGCCCAUGUGCCAUGCUCGCUGUGCCUGUCUACAUCCAGGCCUCCGAGUGACAGACCUGAGGUGUCUGUUUCCUGGGCAGGCCUGAUGCUCCUGUUUGGGUCCAGGGCCCCUGGGGGCAGACCGGUGAUCCCUACCAGUGGAAGCGAGCCAUCGAGCCAUUGGCAGAAAUCCUGCUGAAUGUCAUUCAGAAACCUCGGCCCAUGCUCGCCCUCCUGUGCCCCUCUCCUGCCGGAAAGCCCUGCAACGUUCUAGGGUUGGGGGCAGGGCCACCCACGGUUUCUGGGCGGAGUCAUGGUGGCAGGACAGAGAUGGCUGAAGCCUGAGCAGCCCAGAGUCCCGCUGGUCUAGGCUGGUGGUUGGGGCCCCUGGGAGAGAAGACAGGGCGUUCCUCCCCACUCUGCCUCCAGGCUGCCUCUGGGUGGCCUCUAGUCCGCUGUUCUUCAGGUGGCCUACCACAAACUCUUCAGAGUUUAUGUGUUGGACCUUUUCACAGACGGUUCCCCACAGCGUCCUCAGACAGCUCUGUGAUGUAGCUUUUAGGAAGCACUCAGGCGUCACGGUUAGACUGCAGCUAUGAGACAGAUCUGGCUUCAAAUCCAAGAGUUGCCAUGCACUUGCUGUGUGACCUUGGGCAAGUCACUUCACUUCUCUGAGCCCUGUGUUCCUCAUCUGUACAAUGGGGCUUACGAUACUACUACCUCAUAGGGUUGUCCUGGGGAUCCAGUAUGAUGAAGUGCACCAGGGGCUUGGCAUGGUGCCCGGCACACAGAAAGUGCUCAGUAAAUGUUUUUGUCAUAACAUG
RNAcentral lists this small RNA (3202 nucleotides) under Pongo abelii (Sumatran orangutan). RNAcentral's name for it is "retained intron". The record is from RNAcentral. Lineage: Eukaryota; Metazoa; Chordata; Mammalia; Primates; Hominidae.